CACAAAAUGACUGAAAGCAAGUACUGGUCUCUUAAACCAUUUUAUAGUAAAUUAGCAAUUACUUUUUGUG
Molecule: transfer RNA, 70 nt
Filed under: Drosophila mercatorum
Lineage: Eukaryota; Metazoa; Arthropoda; Insecta; Diptera; Drosophilidae
Description: tRNA-Lys
Source: RNAcentral